Molecule: non-coding RNA, 1309 nt
Organism: Kogia breviceps (pygmy sperm whale)
Lineage: Eukaryota; Metazoa; Chordata; Mammalia; Artiodactyla; Physeteridae
Source: RefSeq, a predicted model, not a curated record
UUGGGAGCUUAGCCGAGCUGUGAUGGAGGGAAGUGUGCCUCUAGCAUCCUCCUUUUGAACCCUUUUCUAGGGAGUCCUCACUUGUCUUUCUGUUCCCAACUCAUUUAAACUCAUGGUGCCCACUUCCCUUAUGGUUCUGCCAAUGCCUUUUUGGGGACUGUUUCUCCAUUCAUAGAAUGACAGAAUAAACCAGCAAAUUUACAAAGCCUCUUACCAAUGUAAAAAGAGAUGAUUCUGAUUUCAUACUUUUGUUUCCAUUUAUACACUAAUGUGGAAGUGUGGAGUACGGGACAAGCUAAUUCUCUUCAGCAAGAAGGAAAGCAAAGACCACGGACUCGUAAGGAGAGAAAGCACAUCUUGUACAGAAUCAGCAGUUCUCAACCAUGGUUGAAGUCGUAGUCAGAAUCAAGAUCAUGCAUGCAGGUCAGAAUCCAUCCUGAAACAGGCUACAAGUGUAAUUUGCAGGACAAUUCAGCAUGAAUUCAAUGUAGACAUUUGCUGGAGUUUUGUGUUUUCUAUUCCAUCAUGCUCUUGAGCCAAAGAAUGAGAGGAAUUCCACCCCCACCCAACCCAGGGUGUUGACUUUAGACCCGGGUCCUUCUUUUCUCCAAAGGGAUGAACAGCCUUUUUGUGUUGCCCAAGGAGAGUGCAGAAGUUGCCUGGUAAGCUCACACUCUAGCUAACCCUUCACAGGCUCCCAAAGAUGAGACAUGUCUCUGCAUCACUCAGGGAUCACCUGCAGCAUUUAGUCUCGACCAGAAUUGUAUUCUCUCUCUCCCACACAGUGUUGGUUUCAAUUGACCAACAUUUAAAAAUUAGAAAAUUUUCACAAAAAAAUCUAGAUUCUGGCUUGUCUGGAACAACCUGAAAAUCUAACAAUACCAGGCCUGGAUGGCCACUUGGCAAUGGCUCCAUAGGGGCUGCCCCUUCUAGAUGGGCACACGUUCUCUCGUUUGCCAUGGUCCUCACCACUUCCUGUUUUUCUUACACCUAGCUGAGAGACAUUUGAGUCUGUGAUCCCUGAUCUGGGGCCACCAGAGAGAGAGCUUAAGAGAGGAAGGCUUGGUGCUUCAAAACUGAUGGACCCCAAAUGUUUAACAGCUGACGAAAGGGGAAAUAAAAUUUGGUAUAUCCAUACAAAGGAAUAUUAUUCAGCAAUUAAUGGAACCAACUACAUGUUACGACAUGGCUGAACCUGGAAAACAUUCUGCUAAGUGAAAGAAGCCAGUCCCAGCUCUGACUCAGCCAGGCGACCACAAGGUAAACAAUAGAUACACUUACAACCGUUCUGUUUUUCACUUUCAGUACA